GGCGGCAGGCCUAACACAUGCAAGUCGAGCGGUAGCACAGAGAGCUUGCUCUCGGGUGACGAGCGGCGGACGGGUGAGUAAUGUCUGGGAAACUGCCUGAUGGAGGGGGAUAACUACUGGAAACGGUAGCUAAUACCGCAUAACGUCGCAAGACCAAAGUGGGGGACCUUCGGGCCUCAUGCCAUCAGAUGUGCCCAGAUGGGAUUAGCUAGUAGGUGGGGUAACGGCUCACCUAGGCGACGAUCCCUAGCUGGUCUGAGAGGAUGACCAGCCACACUGGAACUGAGACACGGUCCAGACUCCUACGGGAGGCAGCAGUGGGGAAUAUUGCACAAUGGGCGCAAGCCUGAUGCAGCCAUGCCGCGUGUAUGAAGAAGGCCUUCGGGUUGUAAAGUACUUUCAGCGGGGAGGAAGGCGAUAAGGUUAAUAACCUUGUCGAUUGACGUUACCCGCAGAAGAAGCACCGGCUAACUCCGUGCCAGCAGCCGCGGUAAUACGGAGGGUGCAAGCGUUAAUCGGAAUUACUGGGCGUAAAGCGCACGCAGGCGGUCUGUCAAGUCGGAUGUGAAAUCCCCGGGCUCAACCUGGGAACUGCAUUCGAAACUGGCAGGCUAGAGUCUUGUAGAGGGGGGUAGAAUUCCAGGUGUAGCGGUGAAAUGCGUAGAGAUCUGGAGGAAUACCGGUGGCGAAGGCGGCCCCCUGGACAAAGACUGACGCUCAGGUGCGAAAGCGUGGGGAGCAAACAGGAUUAGAUACCCUGGUAGUCCACGCCGUAAACGAUGUCGAUUUGGAGGUUGUGCCCUUGAGGCGUGGCUUCCGGAGCUAACGCGUUAAAUCGACCGCCUGGGGAGUACGGCCGCAAGGUUAAAACUCAAAUGAAUUGACGGGGGCCCGCACAAGCGGUGGAGCAUGUGGUUUAAUUCGAUGCAACGCGAAGAACCUUACCUGGUCUUGACAUCCACAGAACUUAGCAGAGAUGCUUUGGUGCCUUCGGGAACUGUGAGACAGGUGCUGCAUGGCUGUCGUCAGCUCGUGUUGUGAAAUGUUGGGUUAAGUCCCGCAACGAGCGCAACCCUUAUCCUUUGUUGCCAGCGGUUAGGCCGGGAACUCAAAGGAGACUGCCAGUGAUAAACUGGAGGAAGGUGGGGAUGACGUCAAGUCAUCAUGGCCCUUACGACCAGGGCUACACACGUGCUACAAUGGCGCAUACAAAGAGAAGCGACCUCGCGAGAGCAAGCGGACCUCAUAAAGUAUGUCGUAGUCCGGAUUGGAGUCUGCAACUCGACUCCAUGAAGUCGGAAUCGCUAGUAAUCGUAGAUCAGAAUGCUACGGUGAAUACGUUCCCGGGCCUUGUACACACCGCCCGUCACACCAUGGGAGUGGGUUGCAAAAGAAGUAGGUAGCUUAACCUUCGGGAGGGCGCUUACCACUUU
Molecule: ribosomal RNA, 1433 nt
Filed under: Klebsiella pneumoniae
Lineage: Bacteria; Pseudomonadati; Pseudomonadota; Gammaproteobacteria; Enterobacterales; Enterobacteriaceae
Description: bacterial SSU rRNA
Rfam family: Bacterial small subunit ribosomal RNA
Source: RNAcentral